UCAGUUUGAUUGCCAUUGGUUACCGCUAGUGAUUGUUUACGUAACCAAGUGACCGGUAUUAUUAUUUAUAAUAUUAUUAUGUACAUUCGACAUGAGUCCAUUCGUCUUAGUAUUUACUAUUAUUAACCAUUUGAUAGAAACAAUAAAUCUUCUCUCAAACAAAAAUCAAAAUCACCUGCAAAUAAUGAAAAAUCACAUAGCCAAAUAAAAAAACAAAAAUCAAGACUAAUAUCUAUUAUUCCACAAGUUGAUAAUAAUGAUAAAUUGCAGAAAACAAUUAAAAUUAAACAUGUUGAAAUGCAAGACAAAAUGAAACAAUUUUAUUUUAUCGUAAAGUACCUUCUGACAUUAAAUAUGAUUUUCAUACUGAUUUAACAAAUUCUACACCUGUGCUUACUUCAAAGAAAAAAAAUGUUUCAAAUAUUCCAAAUUUGAAUAAUGAAGUCAAUCAAUUGUCCAUUAAAUUCAGUUAACUAAAAAUUGAAUCUGAUUAUGAAAAAAAUAAAGAUAGUGAAUUAAAAAAACAUGUAAAUGAAGAGUCUGAUUUUUGCGACAUUUUAUCAUUCGGAGGAAAGGAUAAAGAUCGAUAUGAUCUCGAAAAAAUAAUGGAUAAUAUAAAGGCUGAAAUUGCUAAUAAAGAUAAUGAUAAAUCAUCUAUGAAAGAAAAUUCAAAGUUCAAUUCAAACAAUAUUAAUGUAGUUAAAAAUACUACUGAAUGAAAUGUAGCAAAAAGAAACUCAAAAGAAAAUCCAGAUCACCUGCAAACAAUGGAAAAAUCACAUAGCCAAAUAAAAAAACAAAAAACAAGACUAAUAUCUACUAUUCCACGAGUUAUCUGAAUUGGCUAUAGUUAAAACCAUUAAAACAAUUUUCAAAUAUAUAGGUUAUGUAAAAUGGAUUUAUAAUAUUAAUAAUAGGUACCUAUAUAAAAUUAAGAAAAUUUUAAAAAAAAAUUGAAUAUGAUUAGGACAUCAAAUACCUAAUCAAUAACUGUAACAUUAAUGUUUUUAAUGCCCUAAUGAUCUUCUCUAAUCCUUUUAGUUUGAUGUUAUUAUUAUUUCUGCAGUUACAAUGACCAGCACGUUCAAGAUUUCUAACAUUCAAUUCAGUAGCAUUUUUAACUACUUACGAUAGAAUCAAAUUGUUUCAUUUCUCUUGCUUUUCAACAGGUUUAAUUUUAAUUGUUUUCUGCAAUUUAUCAUUAUUAUCAACUCGGGGAAUAGCAGAUAUUUGUCUUGAUUUUGAUUUUAUUUUGUUUUGUUAUUAUUAGUUUAUUAUAGAAAAAUGACUAACUUGUUAUUAAAUAUUUUGUAUUCCGAAAAAA
Aphis gossypii (cotton aphid) is the source of this 1324-nucleotide long non-coding RNA. RefSeq lists it as uncharacterized. The record is from RefSeq and is a predicted model, not a curated record. The transcript is spliced from 3 exons. NCBI's taxonomy places the organism in Eukaryota, Metazoa, Arthropoda, Insecta, Hemiptera, Aphididae.